RNA transcript from Entelurus aequoreus (snake pipefish), 1602 nucleotides. It is a transcript of the gene named neurexophilin-1, with no coding region annotated. The record is from RefSeq and is a predicted model, not a curated record. NCBI's taxonomy places the organism in Eukaryota, Metazoa, Chordata, Actinopteri, Syngnathiformes, Syngnathidae. The transcript has 6 exons.
UAUAGCUUUCUCCGACUUUCUAGGACGUGUUUUAUGCCACUUCUUUUUCUGUCUCAUUUUGUCCACCAAACUUUUAACGUUGUGCGUGAAUGCACAAAGGUGGUCAAUGUGGACUCAAGGUCAGGAAAUGCUGAGUUGAGAGAAAGCUCCAAGUCCAAGAUGAAGACCUACUGGCCUGAGAGCAGCAAGGCUCUGUCCAUCAGCCGCCUCCUGGCUCAGACGCUGGACAGAAAGGAGAACUUCACGUCUCUGGACGUGGACUUCCACGAGGACGACGCCAAGACGUGGAAGUGGCUCUAUAACGUCUCCGGCUCCUCCCCCCGCGAGGUUCGCUCGCGGGCCAAGAGGAGGCCCAUCGUGAAGACGGGCAAGUUCAAGAAGAUGUUCGGCUGGGGGGACUUCCACUCCAACAUCAAGACGGUGAAGCUCAACCUUCUCAUCACCGGGAAGAUCGUGGACCACGGCAACGGGACCUUCAGCGUCUACUUCCGCCACAACUCCACCGGUCAGGGCAACGUCUCGGUGGGACUGGUUCCUCCAACCAAGGCUGUGGAGUUCCAGGUGCAGCCGCCCCCGCAGUACCACCAGCACCACCACCUCCACCACGUCCAGCAGACGGCCGUGGAGACCAAGGAGACCAAGCUGUUCAACUGCAGGGUGGAGUACGAGAAGGUAGAGAAGGGCACCAGGAACUCGCUGUGCGCCCACGACCCCUCGCAGAGCUGCCCCCAGGAGCAGACCCAGAGCCACGUGUCCUGGCUCUGCUCCAAGCCCUUCAAGGUCAUCUGCAUCUUCAUCACCUUCCACAGCACCGACUACAAGCUGGUGCAGAAGGUGUGUCCCGACUACAACUACCACAGCGACACCCCCUACAUGCCCACCGGCUGAGGGGGCAGGAGGAGGAGACGUCGGCCGCCGGACCGGUCCGGUUUCUUGGACCGAGCAGGAGUCCCAGCCUGGAUGUCACCUAGGAGGCGUUCAAGGCACUCGCAAAAAAGAAAUCUCCCUCAAAGUGAAAGAGUUUUUAUACGACAGCAUUCAGCGUCGGCAGCCUGAUGAGGAAAAACAAACAUUUAUCUAAAAAGAAAGGAUGACUGAACUGGGAACAACUCGGAAUGUCGGCUGAAGUUGCAGGAAAAGUAUGAUUCAAAAGUGAAACAAGAUGGAGGACCCGAAUGAAAACGAGACCCCUGACGUCUGUGCGCACCUCGGGACACGCCCACGGGUGCGCACAUCCAGGGACGCGCCGCGCGCGUCUCCGCCCUGCAGCAGCCACCAGCUGCAAACACUCACCGGCUAUCUGCACACCUGAUCCUGAUGAGGGCGUGCCGGAUAAAGGCAGGGUGGACCCAAGGAUCGGCGUGGGAACUUAGUCUUCUCAUGGUGAACCUACCCUCCGUCGCCUGGACAGUGAGCUGUGCGUCUCACAUUUCCCCGGAUCUCCCUCUGGACACUGACUGCCUCCCUCGAUCCUUGACUUCCCUCGCUUGGCUCCCCUCUACCCCUGGACUUCCUCAUCUCUGUUCAACACUUGGUAACACACACACUUCAGCUAACUACACACAUAGUCUUACACCACACACUCUUGUAUUCUAGUUCACA